GCACUGCUGACGAGUUUCAAACAGGACGUAACGACUGUCCAGUGC
Molecule: non-coding RNA, 45 nt
Filed under: Echinostoma caproni
Lineage: Eukaryota; Metazoa; Platyhelminthes; Trematoda; Plagiorchiida; Echinostomatidae
Source: RNAcentral